GCGGUAAGGCCCUUCGGGGUACACGAGCGGCGAACGGGUGAGUAACACGUGAGCAACCUGCCCCUGACUCCGGGAUAAGCGGUGGAAACGCCGUCUAAUACCGGAUACGACCUCCCACCUCAUGGUGGAGGGUGGAAAGUUUUUCGGUCAGGGAUGGGCUCGCGGCCUAUCAGCUUGUUGGUGGGGUAACGGCCUACCAAGGCGAUUACGGGUAGCCGGCCUGAGAGGGCGACCGGCCACACUGGGACUGAGACACGGCCCAGACUCCUGCGGGAGGCAGCAGUGGGGAAUAUUGCGCAAUGGGCGAAAGCCUGACGCAGCGACGCCGCGUGGGGGAUGACGGCCUUCGGGUUGUAAACCUCUUUUACCACCAACGCAGGCUCCCAGUUCUCUGGGGGUUGACGGUAGGUGGGGAAUAAGGACCGGCUAACUACGUGCCAGCAGCCGCGGUAAUACGUAGGGUCCGAGCGUUGUCCGGAAUUAUUGGGCGUAAAGAGCUCGUAGGCGGCGUGUCGCGUCUGCUGUGAAAGACCGGGGCUUAACUCCGGUUCUGCAGUGGAUACGGGCAUGCUAGAGGUAGGUAGGGGAGACUGGAAUUCCUGGUGUAGCGGUGAAAUGCGCAGAUAUCAGGAGGAACACCGGUGGCGAAGGCGGGUCUCUGGGCCUUACCUGACGCUGAGGAGCGAAAGCAUGGGGAGCGAACAGGAUUAGAUACCCUGGUAGUCCAUGCCGUAAACGUUGGGCGCUAGGUGUGGGGACUUUCCACGGUUUCCGCGCCGUAGCUAACGCAUUAAGCGCCC
RNAcentral lists this ribosomal RNA (800 nucleotides) under Nocardiopsis sp. K94. RNAcentral's name for it is "bacterial SSU rRNA". It matches the Rfam family "Bacterial small subunit ribosomal RNA", at positions 66 to 869 of the family's 1533-position model. The record is from RNAcentral. Lineage: Bacteria; Bacillati; Actinomycetota; Actinomycetes; Streptosporangiales; Nocardiopsidaceae.